This 829-nucleotide long non-coding RNA is filed under the name Homo sapiens (human). RNAcentral describes it as "HSALNT0344747". The record is from RNAcentral. Lineage: Eukaryota; Metazoa; Chordata; Mammalia; Primates; Hominidae.
CCGUAACCACCACGGACUUCCGCUGAGCGCCCGUCUCCGCGAAAGUACUGACCCUGGACCCCCAGUUGCCUGGGUCCACCUGUCGAACCAAACACAAGCCUCUUUUAGGUCUCUUUCACUCAUCUGAGCAGGACUUGGCUACCCAGAAACGCCACCUAACACCCGCAGCUUCGCCCCAUCAUCUGUGACUACCUACUGUGCCCGUGAGACUGUCCAGUCUAUAGACUGCCGCUCAGAGAAGAGCUUCACUCCAAACUCCAGGAGAAACAUCAGUCAAAGAUACCGGUAUACCCGACCUUUUUAAGGGGGGAAGACAGUGCGAAUGUGAGAGGUGUUUCUUCCUCAGAGUAAGAAGCCAUCAGAAGUUAUGCUUCCACACAGCAGAGCUGUUUAAUCGUUCACACUUGGAAAAGACACCGAUACAUAGGGAAGGGACGUGUCUCCUGAUGGUCCCACUUCAGGAGCCAGCAUCCCAGCGAACUGAUACCAGCUGAUAGAGGAGGAAAAAGCCGAGAAGCCAGUUCAGAAAGGCCUGACAUCUUCUCCCUCCCGCAGGAGCCACAGACACUCACCACUAGGUUCCCCCUCCCUUCUCAGGGACCCUGCACUUAGGUGCUCACUGAAUCCCAUUCACCUCAAGGCCCUGAAGAAAACUGCCCAGCAACUCUCCCGUCUCCUCUUGACAUAAUUUUUUCACUCUCCCAGAUUAUUCCCAUUGGUUUAUAAUAGUGUUGGGGUUUUCUCCCGUCUUGCAAGGUAAACAAAACAAAACUCAUAACCUUUAUCCCCUCCAGCUACAACCUCCUCUCUUUUUACUUCACAAUAAAAC